GGUAGUUGGUGGGGUAAUGGCCUACCAAGCCUUAGACGGGUAUCCGGUGUGAGAGCACGAACGGACAGAGGGGGACUGAGACACGGCCCCCACUCCUACGGGAGGCAGCAGCAGGGAAUCUCGCGCAAUGGGCUAAAAGGCCUGACGCAGUGACACCGCGUGGGGGAAGAAGGCUUUCGGGUCGUAAACCCCUUUUCUCGGGGAAGAGUGAGGACGGUACCCGAGGAAUAAGCCUCGGCUAACUACGUGCCAGCAGCCGCGGUAAUACGUAGGAGGCGAGCGUUGUCCGGAUUUACUGGGCGUAAAGGGCGAGUAGGCGGCCUGAUAAGUCUCAUGUGAAAUCUCCCGGCUUAACUGGGAGGGGUCAUGGGAAACUGUCAGGCUUGAGGGCAGUAGAGGAGAGUGGAAUUCCCGGAGUAGCGGUGAUAUGCGUAGAUACCGGGAGGAACACCCGAGGCGAAGGCGACUCUCUGGGCUGCACCUGACGCUGAGGCGCGAAAGCAUGGGGAGCGAACCGGAUUAGAUACCCGGGUA
This 534-nucleotide ribosomal RNA is filed under the name uncultured Chloroflexota bacterium. Its description in RNAcentral is "bacterial SSU rRNA". It matches the Rfam family "Bacterial small subunit ribosomal RNA", at positions 244 to 792 of the family's 1533-position model. The record is from RNAcentral. Lineage: Bacteria; Bacillati; Chloroflexota.